This is a long non-coding RNA of Hevea brasiliensis (rubber tree), 5983 nucleotides long. RefSeq lists it as uncharacterized. Lineage: Eukaryota; Viridiplantae; Streptophyta; Magnoliopsida; Malpighiales; Euphorbiaceae. The transcript is spliced from 6 exons. The record is from RefSeq and is a predicted model, not a curated record.
CAUUGUUUUACUGGUAUUGAUCUUAGUCCCCAUCAUCGGAAUGAUUCUUCUGAGCCUAUGGACCUGUUUGGUUUUAUGGUUACUACGGGAGUCGCGUCAAGAAAUAUAUCACUUUCUAAGCCAAGCAUUUGAUGAAUUGAAGAGGCUAUUUUGGAAGUGCAUUCAAGCACUGAGAAGCUGUGGAAACCGCAUGAUGCAGUAUUUGAGUAAUUGAUGAGCAUCAAUCUGAGAAUUUUCCUGUUAAUUUUUUUAUGUUAUAUUACUUUGCAUCCCAUCUGCGCUAAAAUGCUAAUUUCUUUUCCACCGUUCUGAAUCUAGAACAGCUUGUGUUCUCUGUCAUGAAUGACAGUUUCAUGUUUCUGGAAAUUGAGAUUAGGAGUUACAUUUACAAUUUUACCCUUCAAUGAUGAUUGAACCAGUAAUGGCAUUUUUGACUUUUUCGGCUACAUUCCUUCUGUCCCUUUUGCUUAUUCGCUUUGACGAUUUUAGCCAAUUUUGCUUUUACUCUCUUAUUCCUGGGGCGUGGACAAAACAGCACCGUUCUUCCUGCUUUCUUGACAUUUCCGAUUAUGUAAUCCUGCAUCCCAACUUCUGACAGAUUGCAAUCUUCGAAAGAUGAGAUAAUCUCCAAAUCGAGACCAGUGUUUCUAUUGAGUUCUCGGAUCUCAGAUCAUUUGGUUGCCCAUCUCUUGCAUCUCUAAUCACUUGAUAGCCCAGUGUCUAUUUUUUUCAACCCUGGAGUGAACUUUGCAUGUGGAAUCUCAGUUCUUCAAUGGUGAAUAACUAUGUCAGAGUGAAUGCGCCGCUCUCGCGAUUCGGUGUGCUGAUGGCGAAGCUUGAGUCCAUAGACACUUCGGCCUCUCAACAAUCCCUUGAAUCUCUCCUUUGCUUGGAUCUCUUUUUCGAUCUCAUCACCCAAGGAUGAGCCCAUAAGCCUCUUCCAAAUCAUGGAAAUUCUGAAGUUGGUUAAAAGAGAAUUACUUGGAGAAUCUGUUAAACCAAUUUGAUCAAUUUUUUGACAAGAUCUUUUUGUUGAACAGAUAGAACUGCUCAAUUUUUUUGGGUACUAUUGCAGAAUCUUCUAUUGCUACAGCAUUAUCUGAAAAUAGUUUUCCAAGUAUCCUUAGGUGAUUGUUUGAGGUCAAUGAGUCGUCUCUAGCAACUCAUUAAAGGUAAUCGUGCAAAUCUAUGUUAUAUUGCAUUAUUUUUCGCUCACAAUUGUCUCUUCUUUUGAUGCUUUAUACUCUUUGCAUUAGUUGCCAAGAGUCUACCUAAGGUCAUUUAUGUGGAGCACUGUGAAAUUAAAUUCGCAAAUGAUUAGUCAGUUGAGAAUUUCUGCAAGCGUAAAUGAGUAACACAAUUAUCAGUCAAUGCUAUUUUGGAAAAAUUAUGAGUAUUGAGAAAGGUCUAAAAAAUGGCUGCAGAAUAAUUAGUCAUGCAAGGAUGAUCUUUACUAAUAAAGUAUACUUUUUUUUCAUUUCAUGUGCUAUUUUUUUUUUCUUACUUUUGCUCCAGAAGGGAUUACAAAUAUCAACACCUUUUAGAGGUAAUUUUAUGAUCUAGAAAACUCAUAUGAUUUUUAUUGUUUUUAUAUUUCCUGGCUUUUUGUUGGCCACUUACUGCAGUACUUUUUAUAUAGAGCAACUUCAGUCUCUUUCUUGUGGUAUUAAACAAAAUCAAGGACAUCAACAGGAUUUUGGAUAGAAAAAAAAAACUUAGGUAAUGUUAUAAAAAAAUAUUACCACAUGCAGGAGAUAGAAAGUUAACUAUUCUUUAUGAAUUUAUGCAUUCCCUAUGAAAAUUGGAAGGUACUAAAAACAAUAACACAUUUUAAGUGGACGAGUCAAUAAAGCAAAGAAAGUUAGGACAGGUUUAGAAAAAAAAAUGAGGAUUCUCAUCCCGGUGCCUGCAACUCCUCAUAAAAAUCCAUGCUUUCAAUAGUAAGAAAAUUGGCCUUUUUUUCCUGGCUUUUAUGUUGUUGAGUUAAUUGAGUAAAUUGCAUUGGUGGGGUUUUCUUCUAUUUCAUUACAUUCGAAAUCUAAGUAAUAAAAUUUCAGAGUGCUGUCAGGUAAAUGCCGGAUUAAGCCUUCUUUGGAAGUUAUGGCUUUUCUUGAAUGAUGUCGCUUAAAUUGCUAAUUGAUAUAAUUUAUUUUUAUCUUUUCUUCUUCUAUAGGAAGUUCCAACAAACAAUCCUGUUUGUUCUAUGUUAGGUGCAUCCUUUUGGUUCUCAACAAUAGAGGGAACUGGCUUUGAGGCUUCUGAAUUUGCUUUUUGUUGCUGGAUGAGUUAAUUGCAUUGAUGGGUUUUCUUCUAUUUCAUUCUUUGGAAGUUAUUACUUCUGUUGAUUGAUGUCAUUGAUUUAUUUUAUUUUAUGGAUUUGGCAUGUUGGGCUUACUUCCAUCUGAUGGAUUUAAAGUUUUCAUUGAGGCUUUGUGGGAACCCCUCUUUAAGUUAUUCUUCUCCUCAAUGAUGACUGGGUAUGGUCAUUCUGUAAUUCUUAUACAUGCUUUAUUCUGUGUUCACUUGUCAAAGUUGGAAUGGAUUGACAACAUAAUAACAACCAUUUUUGUGCCAUCUAUUACCUUUGGGAUUUAACUCACAGAAAUGGGACUUCUUGCAGUUUGAAUAGGCCUUAUUUCCAGAUCUUAUCAAUCUAAAAGCAGGGUGUUAAUUAUGCUUUAAUUGCUUGAAGUACUAGAUAAAAUUUCCAGUUUCCUGUCUUCAACAAUAUGUUAACUGUUAUUCUCUUAUACAGUAUUGGUUGUUUAUGAAUCUUGUAUCUGGUUGAAUUGGUAAAUUGAAUAUAGAUAUUGUAGGGGUUUCUUUUAUCAAAUAUAAUUAUCAGAUGGAUUUUGGUUUUCUUAGUUUAGUUUGUUAGAACUGAAAAUGUUUUUCUUAUCUAAACCUCUUAGUGACUGAGGGUUCUCAUUGAUUUAUUGAUUUUCAGAUCUUGCCGAGUUAGAUUAUUAUUUAUUUGUGGGAAAUUUAUUUUUCAGUCCCUAAUUUUGCCAUCGUUAACACUUAUGUCCCUCGUUUUUCUGAAAUUGCUGAUUUACUACCUAACUUUUCAUUCCAUUGAAUACUUUAGUCCUUCUGCUAAUAUUUUUUAAGCAUAUUCCAUCAAUCAAACAAGUCAGAUAAGAGUUUUUUUUUUAAUUCCUAUAGUACCACUAUCCCUAUCUCCUUUGUUUCUCCUCUCUCCCCCUCUCUUGCAUCUCUCUCUCUCUCUCUCUCUCUCUCUCUCUCUCUCUAUAUAUAUAUAUAUAUGUUCCUAAACUCCAAAAAUCGACAAAUCCCCCAAUUCUGAAGAGCAAACUGAGGCUGAAAUGGGAUUUUUUCCCCAUGGAGUAGAACCUAUGGAAGACAUUCCUAUUUCCAGAUUCAAGACUAAAUAAGAGAGGCUAGAUACAGUAUGGUUAAGCAAAGAGAACAUCAAACUGAACUUAUUUUUAUUACUGUGCCCAGUGAGAGUGAUCCAGUAGCAUUUGAACAAUUUGAUUCUCCUGCCAAGACUAUUCCUAUUUUCUCUUUCCCUCCCGUUUCACCGCAUGUGAUCCCUGGUUGUACAGUUCCCAUGUAAAGAACACUCAAGUCGGGCAUUACCAACUCGUCUUUGAAUGUUUGAGAAUUGACUCUGACGAGUGUCUGAGUCUUGCUUGGGUGCUUCACCUUGUGGCGGUUUAAAAAGAAUGCUAGACUUGAAAGCAUUCCCAGAGUGACAAUCCCAACUGAGAUUACAAUUGCCACUUUCUUAGACAGUUUCACUGGUUGUGUUGCUAUUGGGAUUGGAAUGUGGAUGGUGAUGGUGAUGGUGAUGGUGAUGGUGAUGGUGAUGGCCGCUGGCUUUGAUCUGGGGUUGGCCCAAUUAGGACCUUGGGGAAGAAGGGUUGUUCUAGGGUGGAAAAGACCUGGCUGUCAAGCAGAGGCAGUGGUGAUGAUGAGUCUAUGCUUGGCAGUGGGGCUGAGCUGUUUGGAAAUAAAGGCUGGUGGAGGAUUCUUCUGUGAGUUUUGGGACCAGUAGUAGAGUGUAGAAUUUCAUUUGCAACAUUAGGCUGAGGAGAUGAUGGUAUUGGUAGAGGAGAAUUAUUUGUUGGAUGGAUGAGGCGGUGGUAGAUGGACAGACUCAUUAGCUUUUGGUAGAGGAGAUAAAAUAAAAGGGUAUUUUGGUCUUUCCAUGUUAAAUAACGGCAAAUUGAUUUUAAAAUGGAUUGAGGGACCUAUUUGUUGACAUAAUCAUUAUCUAGGAACUACAUAAGCUAUUUCUGAAAAAACGGUGACAUAAGUGUUAAUUAUGGCAUAACUCAGAGACUUUGUGGUAGGGGAGGGCAGGCUCUAGCAUUAUAAAAUGGACAAAUUACUUGUGUUUAUAUGUAAUAUAUUUAUAAUAUGCUGCCUAUUCAAAGUCAUGCAAUUUUUUUAAUAAUAAAUACCAGUUUAACACUGUAUAACUUUGAAGAACUUAGAUUAGAAAGAAGACAACGUAAAAUUUGUUUUAGUUUUUGCUAUCUAUUUUUGUAAGGAACUACUAGAGGUUUAUUCAUUUUUAGAUGGCUAUAUAAAUAAACCUUCCAUUUUUCAAAGAUUAUGCACAUAAUAUAUCAUAUGAGAAUUGUGCAUCUAAUGAGAUGUAAAAACAAUUAAUAAGGGAAUUAUACGUGAGAUUUAUUUUUUACUGGGGAAAAGAAACAAGAGGAGGGGGAUUACUCUUUACCUCCUGCAUCUUAAAGGGACCACCUAAGGAGUUUGGUGUUCUAAGGUGGUGCCAUUUCUGAUGCUUUGCUUGUUUAAAUAUUUUUCCUCACUUUUACUUUGGAAUGUGAAUAUUCCCAUAAUCCUAUUUUUCAAUUAUUUUAUUAAAUAUUUUUUUACUGCUUUAUCAUUUUGUUCUUCUCAAUAGGCCAUUUAUUAUGGUUAGCAUGCAUUUUCACAAUUAUUAAGUUGUUUUGUUAAAGCAACUGCAUGAAGUCGAGAGGAAAAGUGCUGCUCUUUAAAUGCAGCAGUUUGUUGGUGAAGAAAAGAAUCAUUUACUGGACUACUUAAUAUCGCUACAACUGGAAAAGGGACAAGAUAUGGCUUUUGGUUUAACUGUUGGCCUUGCAUGGUGCAAUCUAUCAGGUAGCUGAGGUGUCAGAACCUACAUCUAACCUAUUCUGUAGUCCAUGGUCUCCUUGCAACUCUUUCACCUAAGAUGCAUUCCAAGGUUCCACCUCAAUCAGAGAAUUCAUCGACUGGAAUAUGGAAUAUUAGGAGUAAAGAUUGUGCAGAACUUGUAGAAAACACUUCACUUGAGUUCCAGCCCUUCAUUUCCUUGACAAGGGACUAUCUAGCGCGUCUACUCUUCUGGUUAGGUCACACCCUUUCUCCAUUUUGUCAUAGUGCUUUUGCACCACCUAUCUCCCUUUUUCUUCUUCUUCUUUUCCUUUUUUACUUUUCCUAAUUGGAAACUUCAGCUGAGCUGGAAACUGAUGAUGGUUACAAUUUUGGUUAGCUGCAUAUUUCUUGGCUUUUUUGGUCAGAAAUUUAAAAUUAUCGAAAUCUCCAUAGCUUGCUUGGAAUUGAACAGGGAUACAUAUUUCUUUAUGCAUUUACUCUAAGCCAUUAGAGCAUCUUGUUUUCUUCAUGAUUUAUUCUACUGCAUUCAACUUUGCUUUAAAAUGCAUCUGUUACGCAUUAUAGUAGGAGGAAGAAUAAGUAGUUGAUUGUAGUGGAUAAGGUUGGAGGGAAAUAUUGUUAGGCAGUCAGUUACACAACUGAAUCAGUUAGCAGCUGAUAAGAUACUCUGUUAUAAAUGAGGGAUAUUGCUUGUAUCAACGCAUUCAAUUGUGAAAUCAGUAACAAGAUACUCUUCUUCUCUCAAGAUUUUAUUCUUUUCUCACCUAAGUCUCUCUCUCUCAUCUCAUUCUUCUUCUUCCGAGUAUUCUGUUCAAUGUCUAUGUUCAGGAACUGAUCUUGGACUGAUAUCUAACGUUUUGGUAUCUAACAA